RNAcentral lists this ribosomal RNA (408 nucleotides) under bacterium enrichment culture clone ALO1_GLFRUDD03F6MI3. RNAcentral describes it as "bacterial SSU rRNA". It matches the Rfam family "Bacterial small subunit ribosomal RNA", at positions 9 to 418 of the family's 1533-position model. The record is from RNAcentral.
GAGUUUGAUCGUGGCUCAGAUUGAACGCUGGCGGCAUGCCUUACACAUGCAAGUCGAACGGCAGCACGGGAGCUUGCUCCUGGUGGCGAGUGGCGAACGGGUGAGUAAUGCAUCGGAACGUAUCCUGGAGUGGGGGAUAACGUAGCGAAAGUUACGCUAAUACCGCAUAUUCUGUGAGCAGGAAAGCGGGGGACCUUCGGGCCUCGCGCUCUUGGAGCGGCCGAUGUCGGAUUAGCUAGUUGGUGAGGUAAAGGCUCACCAAGGCGACGAUCCGUAGCAGGUCUGAGAGGAUGAUCUGCCACACUGGAACUGAGACACGGUCCAGACUCCUACGGGAGGCAGCAGUGGGAAUUUUGGACAAUGGGGGCAACCCUGAUCCAGCCAUGCCGCGUGAGUGAAGAAGGCCUC